GACGAACGCUGGCGGCGUGCCUAAUACAUGCAAGUAGAACGCACAGUUUAUACCGUAGCUUGCUACACCAUAGACUGUGAGUUGCGAACGGGUGAGUAACGCGUAGGUAACCUGCCUGGUAGCGGGGGAUAACUAUUGGAAACGAUAGCUAAUACCGCAUAAUAUUAAUUAUUGCAUGAUAAUUAAUUGAAAGGUGCAAUUGCACCACUACCAGAUGGACCUGCGUUGUAUUAGCUAGUAGGUGAGGUAACGGGUCACCUAGGCGAAGAUACAUAGCCGACCUGAGAGGGUGAUCGGCCACACUGGGAAUGAGACACGGCCCAGACUCCUACGGGAGGCAGCAGUAGGGAAUCUUCGGCAAUGGACGAAAGUCUGACCGAGCAACGCCGCGUGAGUGAAGAAGGUUUUCGGAUCGUAAAGAUCUGUUGUAAGAGAAGAACGGGUGUGAGAGUGGAAAGUUCACACUGUGACGGUAUCUUACCAGAAAGGGACGGCUAACUACGUG
RNAcentral lists this ribosomal RNA (505 nucleotides) under uncultured bacterium. Its description in RNAcentral is "partial 16S ribosomal RNA". It matches the Rfam family "Bacterial small subunit ribosomal RNA", at positions 28 to 507 of the family's 1533-position model. The record is from RNAcentral.